This is a long non-coding RNA of Dicentrarchus labrax (European seabass), 484 nucleotides long. RefSeq lists it as uncharacterized. The record is from RefSeq and is a predicted model, not a curated record. The transcript is spliced from 3 exons. NCBI's taxonomy places the organism in Eukaryota, Metazoa, Chordata, Actinopteri, Moronidae.
CAGCGACACACAGAUUGAUUGACACACAUAGAAAAACACAUCUGUGUUCAUUUCAGACGUGCAUUGUUUAUGUUGGACAGAACAUGACCAGCACUAUCAUCUUGUCACCUGCACCUCCCCCUCUUCUGAUUCAGAAGAGAAUCAAGCAGGAGUGACGUUAUGGAGCACAGAGAGUGGAGCAGUCAGUCAGCUGCUGGAGUGUCCGUAUGGGCAGCCAACCUGUCCCGAGAAACACACCAGUAGGGCUGGUGAACAUGCUACCAAACAGCACAUAAAUGAAGAUGUUUGUCCUGGUUUCAGUGACGUACAUCCACACCUAGAACCUCAAGCCGGAAGUCUCACAGGUUCUCAAAGCUCAGGUUAUGGUUGGAUAUUAUUUAUUCAGAACAAGUAAACACCCUUAAUAAAAUGUUAUGUUUGUAUAUGUAUGUAUUAGGCAUAUUAUACUGAAGGCACCAUAGUGCAGCCUUUAUUUUGUAUCCUA